RNAcentral lists this transfer RNA (77 nucleotides) under Paracoccaceae bacterium. RNAcentral describes it as "Rhodobacteraceae bacterium tRNA-Arg". It matches the Rfam family "tRNA". From Rfam's summary of the family: Transfer RNA (tRNA) molecules are approximately 80 nucleotides in length. Their secondary structure includes four short double-helical elements and three loops (D, anti-codon, and T loops). The record is from RNAcentral. RNAcentral also lists the same sequence under 4 other names. Lineage: Bacteria; Pseudomonadati; Pseudomonadota; Alphaproteobacteria; Rhodobacterales; Paracoccaceae.
GGUCCCGUAGCUCAGUAGGAUAGAGCGACGGAUUCCUAAUCCGUAGGUCACAGGUUCGAAUCCUGUCGGGAUCACCA